RNAcentral lists this ribosomal RNA (463 nucleotides) under Vreelandella stevensii. RNAcentral's name for it is "partial 16S ribosomal RNA". It matches the Rfam family "Bacterial small subunit ribosomal RNA", at positions 338 to 795 of the family's 1533-position model. The record is from RNAcentral. Lineage: Bacteria; Pseudomonadati; Pseudomonadota; Gammaproteobacteria; Oceanospirillales; Halomonadaceae.
CCUACGGGCGGCAGCAGUGGGGAAUAUUGGACAAUGGGCGAAAGCCUGAUCCAGCCAUGCCGCGUGUGUGAAGAAGGCCUUCGGGUUGUAAGCACUUUCAGUGGGGAAGAAAGCCUUGGGGCUAAUACCCUCGAGGAAGGACAUCACCCACAGAAGAAGCACCGGCUAACUCCGUGCCAGCAGCCGCGGUAAUACGGAGGGUGCGAGCGUUAAUCGGAAUUACUGGGCGUAAAGCGCGCGUAGGCGGUCUGAUAAGCCGGUUGUGAAAGCCCCGGGCUCAACCUGGGAACGGCAUCCGGAACUGUCAGGCUAGAGUGCAGGAGAGGAAGGUAGAAUUCCCGGUGUAGCGGUGAAAUGCGUAGAGAUCGGGAGGAAUACCAGUGGCGAAGGCGGCCUUCUGGACUGACACUGACGCUGAGGUGCGAAAGCGUGGGUAGCAAACAGGAUUAGAUACCGGGUAGUC